UUAAACGAGAGUUUGAUCCUGGCUCAGGACGAACGCUGGCGGCGUGCCUAACACAUGCAAGUCGAGCGGAACUGAUAAAGUUUACUUUAACAGUUUAGCGGCGGACGGGUG
Ribosomal RNA from Dethiosulfatibacter aminovorans DSM 17477, 111 nucleotides. It matches the Rfam family "Bacterial small subunit ribosomal RNA", at positions 1 to 108 of the family's 1533-position model. The record is from Rfam. Lineage: Bacteria; Bacillati; Bacillota; Tissierellia.